RNAcentral lists this ribosomal RNA (694 nucleotides) under uncultured bacterium. RNAcentral's name for it is "bacterial SSU rRNA". It matches the Rfam family "Bacterial small subunit ribosomal RNA", at positions 58 to 748 of the family's 1533-position model. The record is from RNAcentral.
CAAGUCGAACGGGGAUGCAUUAAGAAGGAGUGCUUGCAUUCCGGAAGGAUGCAUCUUAGUGGCGGACGGGUGAGUAACGCGUGGGUAACCUGCCCCAUACCGGGGGAUACCACCUGGAAACAGGUGCUAAUACCGCAUAAGCGCACGGGAGCGCAUGCUCCUGUGUGAAAAACUCCGGUGGUAUGGGAUGGACCCGCGUCUGAUUAGCCAGUUGGCAGGGUAACGGCCUACCAAAGCGACGAUCAGUAGCCGGCCUGAGAGGGUGGACGGCCACAUUGGGACUGAGACACGGCCCAAACUCCUACGGGAGGCAGCAGUGGGGAAUAUUGCACAAUGGGGGAAACCCUGAUGCAGCGACGCCGCGUGAGUGAAGAAGUAUUUCGGUAUGUAAAGCUCUAUCAGCAGGAACGAGACAAGACGGUACCUGACUAAGAAGCCCCGGCUAACUACGUGCCAGCAGCCGCGGUAAUACGUAGGGGGCAAGCGUUAUCCGGAAUCACUGGGUGUAAAGGGAGCGUAGACGGCUGAGCAAGCCUGAAGUGAAAGGCGGGGGCCCAACCCCUGGACUGCUUUGGGAACUGUACGGCUGGAGUGCAGGAGAGGUAAGUGGAAUUCCUAGUGUAGCGGUGAAAUGCGUAGAUAUUAGGAGGAACACCAGUGGCGAAGGCGGCUUACUGGACUGUAACUGACGUUG